This 253-nucleotide ribosomal RNA is filed under the name uncultured bacterium. RNAcentral's name for it is "partial 16S ribosomal RNA". It matches the Rfam family "Bacterial small subunit ribosomal RNA", at positions 524 to 776 of the family's 1533-position model. The record is from RNAcentral.
UACGUAGGUGGCAAGCGUUGUCCGGAUUUACUGGGCGUAAAGGAUGCGUAGGCGGACAUUUAAGUCAGAUGUGAAAUACCCGAGCUUAACUUGGGUGCUGCAUUUGAAACUGGGUGUCUAGAGUGCAGGAGAGGUAAGUGGAAUUCCUAGUGUAGCGGUGAAAUGCGUAGAGAUUAGGAAGAACACCAGUGGCGAAGGCGACUUACUGGAAAAUACCUGACACUGAGGCACGAAAGCUAGGGGAGCAAACAGG